RNAcentral lists this transfer RNA (73 nucleotides) under Amazona aestiva (blue-fronted amazon). It matches the Rfam family "tRNA". From Rfam's summary of the family: Transfer RNA (tRNA) molecules are approximately 80 nucleotides in length. Their secondary structure includes four short double-helical elements and three loops (D, anti-codon, and T loops). The record is from Rfam by way of RNAcentral. Lineage: Eukaryota; Metazoa; Chordata; Aves; Psittaciformes; Psittacidae.
GCCCGGCUAGCUCAGUCAAUAGAACAUGAGACUUUUAAUCUCAGGGUCGUGGGUUUGAGUCCCACGUUGGGUG